RNAcentral lists this ribosomal RNA (360 nucleotides) under uncultured bacterium. RNAcentral's name for it is "bacterial SSU rRNA". It matches the Rfam family "Bacterial small subunit ribosomal RNA", at positions 954 to 1315 of the family's 1533-position model. The record is from RNAcentral.
GCUAAACGCGAAGAACCUUACCUGGGUUUGACAUACGCAGGACGACAUCAGAGAUGGUGUUUCCCUUGUGGUCUGUGUACAGGUGGUGCAUGGCUGUCGUCAGCUCGUGCCGUGAGAUGUUGGGUUAAGUCCCGCAACGAGCGCAACCCUUGUUCCAUGUUGCCAGCGCGUAAUGGCGGGGACUCAUGGGAGACUGCCGGGGUCAACUCGGAGGAAGGUGGGGAUGACGUCAAGUCAUCAUGCCCCUUAUGUCCAGGGCUUCACACAUGCUACAAUGGCCGGUACAAAGGGCUGCGAUGCCGUGAGGUGGAGCGAAUCCUUCAAAGCCGGUCCCAGUUCGGAUCGGGGUCUGCAACUCGA